AGUGAACGCUGGCGGCAGGCCUAACACAUGCAAGUCGAGCGGCAGCGCGUCCGACCACCCUCGGGUGGUCGGAUGGCGGCGAGCGGCGGACGGGUGAGGAAUGCAUCGGAAUCUGCCUCGUUGUGGGGAUAACGUAGGGAAACUUACGCUAAUACCGCAUACGACCUACGGGUGAAAGUGGGGGACCUUCGGGCCUCACGCGAUGAGAUGAGCCGAUGCCGGAUUAGCUAGUUGGCGGGGUAAAGGCCCGACCAAGGCGACGAUCCGUAGCUGGUCUGAGAGGAUGAUCAGCCACACUGGAACUGAGACACGGUCCAGACUCCUACGGGAGGCAGCAGUGGGGAAUAUUGGACAAUGGGGGGCAACCCUCGAUCCAGCCAUGCCGCGUGUGUGAGAA
RNAcentral lists this ribosomal RNA (397 nucleotides) under uncultured bacterium. Its description in RNAcentral is "bacterial SSU rRNA". It matches the Rfam family "Bacterial small subunit ribosomal RNA", at positions 30 to 411 of the family's 1533-position model. The record is from RNAcentral.